UACGAGGGGGGCAAGCGUUGUUCGGAAUUAUUGGGCGUAAAGGGUGCGUAGGCGGUUCGGUAAGUCUUAUGUGAAAUCUUCGGGCUCAACUCGAAGUCUGCAUGAGAAACUGCCGGGCUUGAGUGUGGGAGAGGUGAGUGGAAUUUCCGGUGUAGCGGUGAAAUGCGUAGAUAUCGGAAGGAACACCUGUGGCGAAAGCGGCUCACUGGACCAUAACUGACGCUGAUGCACGAAAGCUAGGGGAGCAAACAGG
RNAcentral lists this ribosomal RNA (253 nucleotides) under uncultured bacterium. Its description in RNAcentral is "partial 16S ribosomal RNA". It matches the Rfam family "Bacterial small subunit ribosomal RNA", at positions 524 to 776 of the family's 1533-position model. The record is from RNAcentral.